UACGUAGGGUGCAAGCGUUAAUCGGAAUUACUGGGCGUAAAGCGUGCGCAGGCGGUUCUAUAAGACAGAUGUGAAAGCCCCGGGCUCAACCUGGGAAUGGCCGUUGAAACUGGCGAACUGGAGUGUGGCAGAGGGGGGUGGAAUUCCGCGUGUAGCAGUGAAAUGCGUAGAGAUGCGGAGGAACACCGAUGGCGAAGGCAGCCCCCUGGGCUGACACUGACGCUCAGGCACGAAAGCGUGGGGAGCAAACAGG
Molecule: ribosomal RNA, 253 nt
Filed under: uncultured bacterium
Lineage: Bacteria
Description: partial 16S ribosomal RNA
Rfam family: Bacterial small subunit ribosomal RNA
Source: RNAcentral